AUGGCCCUCGGGAAUCCUGAGCACCCUGGACGGACACGAGGCACGCCAGGCUCCGUUUCGUGGAAGGCUGGUUUUCCGGACGCGGGCGAUUACAAAACCCAGGAGAGGAGGAAAAAAGUGGAGCAGAUCCAAAUUCAGAAGCUGCACGAAAGGGUUCAAGCGCUAGAGGAACGAGACGGCAAUCGAGAUGCCGAAACUGCCCCCGAAGCUACACCGCCAUCUCAGUGGAGAAGCAGCGUGGCUUCCACCGAGCUGCUUCAGCUGGAGCAUGCGGCUCCUGCUAGCUACCCCGUGGAUGCUAUCACGGAGUCUCAACAGUGCCACCUUAUGGCGGAAUGGAAGAACUUCAAAGUCAAGGCGGCUGUUGGCUCUGUUUUACCUACUGAACCCGGCGCAACCUACCACUGCCGGCCGAUUCCAGAAGGAUAUGCUAGGGUGAUGGUGGAUGAAAUAACGGAGGGAUUUGAGGAGCUCCAGCUUGACCACCCUACCGGUGAAGGGGAGACUCGGCUGGGUUCUGCUCUGAAGACUCCAUGCCUAUGGCGGAAGGAGCUCAUGAAGCUUCCGAACUGGACGGCUCCGGCGAGUAAGGGCACUCCGCCUCCUCCUCCGCCUCCUCCUCCGGCGAGUAAUCAGGGCACUCAGCCUCCUUCUCCGGCGUGUGGCGGCACUCCGCCUCCUUCUCCGCCAGCGCCGGUGCGCCAGAGCAGCCAGCCUCCUCCUUCUCCGCCUCAUCAGCAAGGGCGGAAGAGACCUGCCGCCGCUGCGGCUGCUCCGGCGCGUCGUAGUCCUUCUCCUCCGCCUCGUAAGCAAGAAAAGAAGACAGCCGCAGCCGCUCCGUCUGCUCUGCCGGCCUCUAGCAGUACAGCUACCAGAGGCAGGAGGCAAUACAGAUUCGGUCCUUCUCUGAAGACUCCAGAGAAGUUACCAUACGAGAGGACCGAGGAGGAGAACGUCAAGAUCGUGCGAGCCAAAGUCAAGAACUUCUUUGAAGGGGUGAAAGCAAAGAAACAUCCACCUCCGGAGGAGAAGGUAGAUCCGGUGAAAGCAAAGCGCACUCUGGCUGCCCUGACAAAACCACCAAAGUCCCCGCCGAGAGGCAACUAUGAGCGCGUUCUUGCAAAGACAUAUGCCGAAGCGGAGCGGUCGGGAAGUACUGUCAGUGAUAAAAGGAUGAAAGAACGACGAGCUGGGAAAAAAAUUGCCCAGCUCGGCGAACAAGCGAACCAAUCGUGCCCCCCGCUCAAGGUGUCAAAAGACAUCAUCGCUAAUGAUCCAAGUAUGGUGCCCGGUUAUAGCAAUCUUGGAGAUUACCUGCCCGACGAUGUACAUUAUGAAAUCAUGGAGGUGGACGAACACAAAUACCAUUACGGGAAGCCUCUCGUCAAAGAUGAAAGAUCUCUAAGCACGAUGAUGCGAAGACUACAUGAUUGGUACAUGAAAACCUGCAGAGAGUCUGAUGGGAUGGAUACUUUGACGCUGAGAGUUAAACCGGAGCAUGACCUCGUUGGAAUUGAUCUGCUGAGUGUUCCAUUUGAGGAUUUCUUCCAGUUUUACAAUCAAAAGGCCCUCGAUAAAACAACGAUCACUUUCUACUGUCUGUAA
This 1605-nucleotide ribosomal RNA is filed under the name Triticum aestivum (bread wheat). RNAcentral's name for it is "partial small subunit ribosomal RNA". The record is from RNAcentral. Lineage: Eukaryota; Viridiplantae; Streptophyta; Magnoliopsida; Poales; Poaceae.